UGAGCAACCUGCCCUUAGCUCUGGGAUAACCCCGGGAAACCGGGGCUAAUACCGGAUAUGAGUCCGAGCGGCAUCACGCGGACUGGAAAGUUUUUCGGCUAAGGAUGGGCUCGGCGGCCUAUCAGCUUGUUGGUGGGUAAUGGCCUACAAGGCGACGACGGGUAGCCGGCCUGAGAGGGCGACCGGCCACACUGGGACUGAGACACGGCCCAGACCUCCGUACGGGAGGCA
Molecule: ribosomal RNA, 231 nt
Filed under: uncultured bacterium
Lineage: Bacteria
Description: partial 16S ribosomal RNA
Rfam family: Bacterial small subunit ribosomal RNA
Source: RNAcentral